GGAGAGGUGACCGAGUGGCUUAAGGUGCACGCCUGGAACGCGUGUGUACGCGAGUACCGUGAGUUCGAAUCUCACCCUCUCCGCCA
This 86-nucleotide transfer RNA is filed under the name Desulfocastanea catecholica. RNAcentral's name for it is "tRNA-Ser". It matches the Rfam family "tRNA". From Rfam's summary of the family: Transfer RNA (tRNA) molecules are approximately 80 nucleotides in length. Their secondary structure includes four short double-helical elements and three loops (D, anti-codon, and T loops). Lineage: Bacteria; Pseudomonadati; Thermodesulfobacteriota; Desulfobulbia; Desulfobulbales; Desulfobulbaceae. RNAcentral also lists the same sequence under 5 other names. The record is from RNAcentral.